CAAUAGCGUAUAUUUAAGUUGUUGCAGUUAAAAGCUCGUAGUUGGAUUUCGUUGAGACGCGGUCCGCCGUUUGGUGUGCACUGGCUGGUCUCAACUUCCUGUAGAGGACGCGCUCUGGGUUAACGCUCGGACGCGGAGUCUACGUGGUUACUUUGAAAAAUUAGAGUGUUCAAAGCAGGCAACCGCUCUGAAUACAUUAGCAUGGAAUAACGCUAUAGGACUCUGGUCCUAUUGUGUUGGUCUUCGGGACCGGAGUAAUGAUUAAGAGGGACAGUUGGGGGGCAUUCGUAUUUCAUUGUCAGAGGUGAAAUUCUUGGAUUUAUGAAAGACGAA
RNAcentral lists this ribosomal RNA (333 nucleotides) under uncultured eukaryote. RNAcentral describes it as "bacterial SSU rRNA". It matches the Rfam family "Eukaryotic small subunit ribosomal RNA", at positions 592 to 939 of the family's 1831-position model. The record is from RNAcentral.